Molecule: ribosomal RNA, 253 nt
Filed under: uncultured bacterium
Lineage: Bacteria
Description: partial 16S ribosomal RNA
Rfam family: Bacterial small subunit ribosomal RNA
Source: RNAcentral
CACGUAAGCCCCGAGCGUUGUUCGGAAUCAUUGGGCGUAAAGGGCGCGUAGGCGGCCGCUCAAGCCCGGAGUGAAAGGCGGGGGCCCAACCCCCGGACUGCUCCGGGAACUGGGCGGCUGGAGUCGCCGAGGGGGAGCCGGAAUUCCUGGUGUAGGGGUGAAAUCUGUAGAUAUCAGGAAGAACACCGAUGGCGAAGGCAGGCUUCCAGCGGACGACUGACGCUGAGGCGCGAAGGCGCGGGGAGCGAACAGG